Long non-coding RNA from Uranotaenia lowii, 980 nucleotides. RefSeq lists it as uncharacterized. The record is from RefSeq and is a predicted model, not a curated record. The transcript has 3 exons. Lineage: Eukaryota; Metazoa; Arthropoda; Insecta; Diptera; Culicidae.
AGUGUGAAGCAACCCGAUUUCGACCAUUUGAAUAAAAAAAAUCAGGAAUAAAAAGUGUCCAAAAACUUACCUCGCGCAUGUAGCUGCUUCAGAUGGUCGACGGUGAGCUGCAGGAUUUCGGCCUUCUCCAGCUUGGCGGAGCCCUGCUUCUCGUAGGCACUCGGAACCAGUCGCUUCAGUUCGGAGAGCGAGGAAUUGAUCCGGUCCCGGCGUUUCUUCUCGAUCACGCCGCGCCGUCGUUUGCGGCUCUGCAGUUGACAGCUGUCCGAUUCGCCAGAGGGGACACAACUUGAAUAUGCGAAAAGGAGCCUUAACAAGAAAAGUCGGAAGAUACAAAUAUGUACACAAAUUCUGUUUCCAGCUGGCAGCUCCCGUCAAAUGGACUGGAAUAAACGAACAAACCGUUGGGUUUACGACAUUUGGAACCUUAAGGAAAGUUCUGCUAAAGCCAUUCCAAAAAGACGAAUGACUCGUGAAAUACUUUGGCUAUCAAUAACCCCCCGGACAAUUCCGGAAUCUACUCAUUGACACACCACGUGACACGGCGAAGAGUUCAAAGUCAAUAGAAAAAGAAGAACAAACGGAGUCAAUCGAUGACGGGACGAUUUUGGUUUUUCUCUGAAAGGACUCCGGUGCAUCAUCAAUCAUACAAUUUUAUCUUAUGAAAACGGCGCUAAAUUAGGUGCAUGCUGCUGCUGCUGUUAUCUACUUCUGUUCUCGAAAGUACCGGAAACGAAACCCUUUUCGAGAGGCAGACAAAAAAAAACUAAUCAGUCCGUGUCCGAUUGUGAUCGCGAAGAAUCGGGAUUAUCGAUUGAGAUUAUUGAUGGGUUCUCGGUCGGAGUGAUUGGAUGGAACAACAACAAUCAACGAGACGACAUCCUUCCGAGGGGAAUUGGGAUUGCCAAUUAGCACCACGCAUUGGAUUUGUACGGUUAAAAAAUGAGGAGUCAUCCUAAUGCUGAUAGUCAAGUUUUUAA